This 354-nucleotide long non-coding RNA is filed under the name Musa acuminata (dwarf banana). RNAcentral's name for it is "long non-coding RNA (MACU_LNC008811)". The record is from RNAcentral. Lineage: Eukaryota; Viridiplantae; Streptophyta; Magnoliopsida; Zingiberales; Musaceae.
CGGGGUGCAGCCGCGGUGGUGGGCGCUGGGCAAGGAGCAGCGACGGCAGUGGUCAUCGGCCAGGAAGCAGCGUCGGUGGUGGAGAAGAUGUAGUGGUGGUCGGUGCAGGGAAGAAAAGGUUCCUUCUCGGUUGAGAAGGAACAACGUGCGGGGCUGCUGGCUUCACCCUUUCUCACAAAUUUUUUUUUUUUUAAUGAUAGCUAUGGCAACACAGCGAGAACGCCAAGGAUCGCCGCUCUGAUACCAAAUGAUAAGACCUUAAGGUCUUAUUAUCGCUCUGAUAUCAAAUGAUAAGACCCUAAAGUCUUAUUGUAGGCUCUGAUACCAAAUGAUAAGACCCUAAAGUCUUAUCGU